RNAcentral lists this ribosomal RNA (473 nucleotides) under uncultured bacterium. RNAcentral's name for it is "bacterial SSU rRNA". It matches the Rfam family "Bacterial small subunit ribosomal RNA", at positions 335 to 798 of the family's 1533-position model. The record is from RNAcentral.
ACUCCUACGGGAGGCAGCAGUGGGGAAUAUUGCACAAUGGGCGCAAGCCUGAUGCAGCCAUGCCUCGUGUGUGAGAAGGCCAUUCGGGCUUGGUUAAGACACUUUCAGUUGUGAGGAAGGUGGUGUCGUUAAUAGUGGCAUCAUUUGACGUUAGCAACAGAAGAAGCACCGGCUAACUCCGUGCCAGCAGCCGCGGUAAUACGGAGGGUGCGAGCGUUAAUCGGAAUUACUGGGCGUAAAGCGCAUGCAGGUGGUUUGUUAAGUCAGAUGUGAAAGCCCGGGGCUCAACCUCGGAACUGCAUUUGAAACUGGCAGACUAGAGUACUGUAGAGGGGGUAGAAUUUCAGGUGUAGCGGUGAAAUGCGUAGAGAUCUGAAGGAAUACCGGUGGCGAAGGCGGCCCCCUGGACAGAUACUGACACUCAGAUGCGAAAGCGUGGGGAGCAAACAGGAUUAGAUACCCUGGUAGGAUAG